UCAAACUUGGUCAUUUAGAGGAAGUAAAAGUCGUAACAAGGUUUCCGUAGGUGAACCUGCGGAAGGAUCAUUAAAAUCAAACUACCUGAAGCUGUGAUAUGUAGGCAUCCCAGAACCAUACCUUGCAUAGCAACAUGGCAGUGGACCAAGAGACCUAUCUAGUAUCUAGCAUGACGGUCCCACCCUUUGUGAACCCUUCGCUUCAGCAGCAUCCCCAUGGGGUUGUAAGCCUGCUGAUAGCUCUUUUUUAAACUCCUUCUCUGAUACAAUGUAUCUGGGAAUUCCAAGGGUUAAAAGUAAAUUCUUAUAAAACUUUCAACAACGGAUCUCUUGGUUCUCGCAUCGAUGAAGAACGCAGC
This 359-nucleotide unclassified non-coding RNA is filed under the name uncultured fungus. Its description in RNAcentral is "partial contains small subunit ribosomal RNA, internal transcribed spacer 1, and 5.8S ribosomal RNA". The stretch from base 1 to 73 matches the Rfam family "Eukaryotic small subunit ribosomal RNA", at positions 1759 to 1831 of the family's 1831-position model. Lineage: Eukaryota; Fungi. The record is from RNAcentral.